Molecule: ribosomal RNA, 214 nt
Filed under: uncultured bacterium
Lineage: Bacteria
Description: partial 16S ribosomal RNA
Rfam family: Bacterial small subunit ribosomal RNA
Source: RNAcentral
UGAGCAAUCUGCCCUUCACAUCGGAAUAACCAUUGGAAACGAUGGCUAAUACCGAAUAUGACUUCGGAUCGCAUGAUCUGAAGUGGAAAGCUCCGCCGGUGAAGGAUGAGCUCGCGGCCUAUCAGCUUGUCGGUGAGGUAAUAGCUCACCAAGGCGAUGACGGGUAGCCGGCCUGAGAGGGUGACCGGCCACACUGGGACUGAGACACGGCAGA